UUUGGUGGCGAUAGCGAAGAGGUCACACCCGUUCCCAUGCCGAACACGGAAGUUAAGUUCUUCAGCGCCGAUGGUAGUCGGGGGUUUCCCCCUGUGAGAGUAGGACGCCGCCAAGC
This 116-nucleotide ribosomal RNA is filed under the name Bacillus velezensis. RNAcentral also lists the same sequence under 2 other names. The record is from RNAcentral. Lineage: Bacteria; Bacillati; Bacillota; Bacilli; Caryophanales; Bacillaceae.